GCAGAGAAAGCCCUUUCUGCAAACCCCAAACUGAAAUCUUUUAUGGCUUCUGAAUGUCGUAAAGCUUCCUCUUUAGACGAAGUCUCUGAUGAUACUGAGAUAGACAAAACGCUUCCCUCCAAAUCAACCCUAGUCGCCGCCAACCUGAAACGGAAUUAAGAAGCGGCAGCGAGCUGACUGAGGAGAUCGAAAAUACGCUUCUGAAAAGUAAAAUAAAUUGAACAAAUCUUGAAAAUUUGAACAAACACCCAUAAAUUUGAACAAUUUUUACAAAACAAGAAUCAUCAAAACCUAACUCUAGCAAAAAUUGAAAAUUAAAAACCAAAACAAACAAGAACAUCGAAAUCACACAAGCUAACCCUGAAUAGCGCGAACAAAUCAAAGCUUGAAAUUAUGAAAACACAAUUGAAAUCAUGGCAUAAUGGAUUCACAUAAGCGACGAGAAACAACAUGCAAAUGAGAAAUUGGACAUGAGGAGUGGCUAAGAGGCCGUUGUUGAAGAAGUGCUUGCUGCACCAGUGCUUCUUGUUGCUGCUGAUGCUGCUUCAACCUCUAGUACUGCAUUUUCCUUCAGAAUCGAAGGAUUUGUAAACUGUUUGUCGAAGGAUUUGUAAACU
RNAcentral lists this long non-coding RNA (617 nucleotides) under Citrus sinensis (sweet orange). RNAcentral's name for it is "long non-coding RNA (CSIN_LNC001166)". Lineage: Eukaryota; Viridiplantae; Streptophyta; Magnoliopsida; Sapindales; Rutaceae. The record is from RNAcentral.